GACGAACCGUGCGAACGUUAUUCGGAAUCACUGGGCUUAAAGCGCGUGUAGGCGGGCCGCCACGUCGGAUGCUGAAAUCCCCCGGCUCAACCGGGGAACGGGCACCGAUACGAGCGGCCUGGAGGGGAGUAGGGGGACCUGGAACUUCCGGUGGAGCGGUGAAAUGCGUUGAGAUCGGAAGGAACGCCCGUGGCGAAAGCGAGGUCCUGGGCUCUUACUGACGCUGAGACGCGAAAGCCAGGGGAGCAAACGGG
RNAcentral lists this ribosomal RNA (254 nucleotides) under uncultured bacterium. Its description in RNAcentral is "partial 16S ribosomal RNA". It matches the Rfam family "Bacterial small subunit ribosomal RNA", at positions 524 to 776 of the family's 1533-position model. The record is from RNAcentral. RNAcentral also lists the same sequence under 1 other name.